RNAcentral lists this ribosomal RNA (360 nucleotides) under uncultured bacterium. Its description in RNAcentral is "bacterial SSU rRNA". It matches the Rfam family "Bacterial small subunit ribosomal RNA", at positions 8 to 350 of the family's 1533-position model. The record is from RNAcentral.
AGAGUUUGAUCAUGGCUCAGGAUGAACGCUAGCUACAGGCUUAACACAUGCAAGUCGAGGGGAAACGACAUCGAAAGCUUGCUUUUGAUGGGCGUCGACCGGCGCACGGGUGAGUAACGCGUAUCCAACCUGCCCAUCACUUGGGGGAUAACCUUGCGAAAGUAAGACUAAUACCCAAUGAUAUCUCUAGAAGACAUCUGAAAAGAGAUUUAAAGAUUUUAUCGGUGAUGGAUGGGGGAUGCGUCUGAUUAGCUUGUUGGCGGGGUAACGGCCACCAAGGCUACGAUCAGUAGGGGUUCUGGAGAGGAAGGUCCCCCACAUUGGAACUGAGACACGGUCCAAAACUCCUACGGGGAGGCA